RNAcentral lists this ribosomal RNA (321 nucleotides) under uncultured bacterium. RNAcentral's name for it is "bacterial SSU rRNA". It matches the Rfam family "Bacterial small subunit ribosomal RNA", at positions 28 to 334 of the family's 1533-position model. The record is from RNAcentral.
GAUGAACGCUGGCGGCGUGCCUAACACAUGCAAGUCGAACGAGGUAUUUUGAUUGAAGUUUUCGGAUGGAUUUCAAGAUGCCGAGUGGCGGACGGGUGAGUAACGCGUGGGUAACCUGCCUCAUACAGGGGGAUAACGGUUAGAAAUGACUGCUAAUACCGCAUAAGCGCACAGUACCGCAUGGUACGGUGUGAAAACUCCGGUGUAUGAGAUGGACCCGCGUCUGAUUAGGUAGUUGGUGGGGUAACGGCCUACCAAGCCGGCGAUCAGUAGCCGACCUGAGAGGGUGACCGGCCACAUUGGGACUGAGACACGGCCCAA